This is a non-coding RNA of Moniliophthora roreri, 102 nucleotides long. The record is from Rfam. Lineage: Eukaryota; Fungi; Basidiomycota; Agaricomycetes; Agaricales; Marasmiaceae.
GCUCGCGUAGCUCAGUGGUAGAGCAUUGUACUUAUGAGGUUGCCUUUAUAACCUACGCAUUUUGCGAUGCAAGGGUCUCCAGUUCAAUCCUGGGCGUGAGCA